RNAcentral lists this ribosomal RNA (497 nucleotides) under uncultured bacterium. RNAcentral's name for it is "partial 16S ribosomal RNA". It matches the Rfam family "Bacterial small subunit ribosomal RNA", at positions 28 to 507 of the family's 1533-position model. The record is from RNAcentral.
GAUGAACGCUGGCGGCGUGCCUAAUACAUGCAAGUAGAACGCACAGAUGAUACGCUUGCUCCCUUCACGAUAACGGGUGACGGGCGAAUGACACAUGAAUAACCAACUAAUCAGCCUGGGAGAACGUCGUAAAAACGGGGAAAGUAACGUAUAAUAUAUUAAACUGGAUUAUUGCAUGGUAAUUGACGGAUUUGUUGUAAUGUAUCGCUACAUCCGCGACCCAUUAGCUAUUGGGUAAGGUAACGGCUUACCAAGGCAACGAUGCGUAGCCGACCUGAGAGGGUGAUCGGCCACACUGGAACUGAGACACGGCCCAGACUCCUACGGGAGGCAGCAGUAGGGAAUAUUCGGCAAUGGGCGAAAGCCUGACGGAGCAGCGCCGCGUGAGUGAGGAAGGUUUUCGGAUCGUAAACCUCUGUUAUUAGGGAAGAACAAAUGUGGAAGUAAAUAUGCACGUCGUGACGGUACCUAAUCAGAAAGCGACGGCUAACUACGUG